AAUGCCAGCUUCCUGAAUCAAGUUGAGGAAUGUCGGAGUAGGUUAUGGUAGCAGUGCCUGUGACCGACAAAAUGCUAAGUGGAAGGGAAAUUUGCCAAAGGAACCUGUAUUUGAAGAUCUCCAUUGAUGGUGAAUUUAAACUCGUGUAUCUCCUCCAUCAGGACAUGGAUUAUGGAAUUUUAGCUGAAAGGGGUACUUCAAAAUGUUGAGUUGCUUACAAGAGAUGUGUUUUCCUGCAGUUUCCCACGAAGGCAUGUGCAGUGGCCAACAGUCUGGGAUCUGUCAUUGGAGAGGGUAGAUCUAUGGAGAACUUUGGCAUUUAUAAAGGGUUUUCUCCAGCAAACGGGGAAGUCUUCAUAAACUUGGGUUUUGGCUUGUAAUGGGGCUGUACUGCAGCUGGUGACUGUUUAAAGGACAAAGGAAUGUUGGAUUCUAAUACUGGAUUGCAAGAUGGCUAAUUGAUCUUAGGACAAAUAAUGACUGUUUUCCCAGCCUUUUCCUUACGUGUGGAGAUGGACUGUAGAAUCCGUGGAGAAAUUCUCUCAAGAUAACUAAGGAGCUUGCCUGCAGAUUCUGAUUCAGGAAAAGACCUCUUGUGCACAAUAGGAAUUUGUGCUCAUGAAUUAAAGAACUUGGGGAUUCAGCCUCGUAGUAAGAGGAAUGCUGCAAGUCGUCGAUUGGUUAUAGGACAAAGCAUAGCUUCCCAGCUGUAUUUCCCCUUGUGGUGUUGUAAAGACUGAUGUACUGCAAGGUGUCUGAUUUUAGGACAAAGAUUAGUCCAGACUGAAGUUUCCUCUAGUCCACUUCAAGAAUUUUGGGUCUAAUAAUGCACUGCAAGUUGGCCGAUUGAUUUUCAGACAAAUCUUGCUGUAGGGGGUUCGGGUGCUGAAGAUAAACUGUACUGUGGGAAAAAUUCAUCACACAUGAAGGGAUGUUGGAUUCGGAUAAUGGACUGCAAGUUGGCUGUUUGAGUUUAGUACCAAUAAUGGUGAAUGCCGUUUCGAGCAAUAUAGAUCUCUCCGCCAAGACCAGUGGGAAUAAGGUACUUUUGUAAAGCAGUUGCAGUAAUGGUGUUCCAGGAAAGAGGUAAUUAUAAGUAGCAGGUAAGUUGCAUUUAAUUCAAGUUUGGAAAACUUUCAGGGACUGUCAUGAGUUCAGUUGUUGGUUGGAGAAUACUAAAUUAAUGCCUAUACAUGAGACAGAAUUGCUGAAUAGACCUUGAAUUCUUCAGUAUUACAUGCACUUUAGG
Molecule: long non-coding RNA, 1249 nt
Organism: Penaeus indicus
Lineage: Eukaryota; Metazoa; Arthropoda; Malacostraca; Decapoda; Penaeidae
Exons: 19
Source: RefSeq, a predicted model, not a curated record